This 67-nucleotide transfer RNA is filed under the name Parrhinotermes sp. A MW-2019. RNAcentral describes it as "tRNA-Trp". The record is from RNAcentral. Lineage: Eukaryota; Metazoa; Arthropoda; Insecta; Blattodea; Rhinotermitidae. RNAcentral also lists the same sequence under 2 other names.
AAGGACUUAAGUUAAACAAACUUAUAGCCUUCAAAGCUAUACAUAAAGGGCCAACCUUUAGGCCUUG